RNAcentral lists this ribosomal RNA (539 nucleotides) under Gyratrix sp. RNAcentral describes it as "SSU rRNA". It matches the Rfam family "Eukaryotic small subunit ribosomal RNA", at positions 22 to 560 of the family's 1831-position model. The record is from RNAcentral. Lineage: Eukaryota; Metazoa; Platyhelminthes; Rhabdocoela; Polycystididae.
AGUCAUAUGCUUGUCUCAAAGAUUAAGCCAUGCAUGUAUAAGUUCACACCUUUAUAUGGUGAAACCGCGAAUGGCUCAUUAAAUCAGCUAUGGUUCCUUAGAUCUUACAAUCCUACUUGGAUAACUGUGGUAAUUCUAGAGCUAAUACAUGCCAACUAAUCCCUGACUUUAUAGGAAGGGUGGAUUUAUUAGAACAAAACCAACCGGCUCUGCCGUUGGCUUGAUGACUCUGGAUAACUUUUCUGAUCGCACGGCCUAGCGCCAGCGACGUAUCUUUCAAAUGUCUGCCCUAUCAACUAUCGAUGGUAGGUGAUAUGCCUACCAUGGUGAUGACGGGUAACGGGGAAUCAGGGUUCGAUUCCGGAGAGGGAGCCUUAGAAAUGGCUACCACAUCUAAGGAAGGCAGCAGGCGCGCAAAUUACCCACUCUCAGCUCGAGGAGGUAGUGACGAAAAAUAACGGGAUGGGUCUCGAAUGAGGCUUCAUCAUUGGAAUGAGUACAAUUUAAAUCCUUUAACGAGGAACUAUUGGAGGGCAAGU